CUUUGAACAUAGCCGUGAAGUGUUUUAUGAUCGAAAUGUCAAAUUAAAUAUAGGUUAACUCGGUCAGUGCAUCGUGGACGCAUAAUUGAGUAUUUUAUCGUGUAUGUUUGAAAUGCAAGAUAUUUCCUUUAUUGAAGCGUUAUUUAUUAAUUGCUUUUAUAUUUAGUGCGAAAUCAGUUGUAGAAAUUAGUUAAACAGUCAGCUGGAAAAGUAUUUAAUAUGAAACCGGCAAACAAGUAUAUAGGCCGCCUUCAAUGCAAAGUCUGUUCAUGUAUUGUGAUAAUUGAUUUGUCAUGUAAUAAUUGAAAUUUCUAACACACCAGUCAGAAACAUAACCUCAAUUCAGUGAUAUAUGAAUAAAGAGAAAGAAAAUUAUAGUGCUGAUAACCCCUACGAAAAUGGAUUUCAAGCUAGGGAAAUUUUCUCCAAUAGAGAAGAUAAAUACAAAGUUAGAUAAUAUAUUAGAAAUUAUUAAUCCUUUGUCACCAAAAAAAAAAACAAGCAAGGCUUAAAAACAUGCAAGAAGAAAAAUAAGAACACAUAUCGAUAAAUAAGAACACAUAUUAAGAUUAAGUGUUGAAAAGAAAAUGAAUUGUGGAGUAUUUCUUAAGUGAUGAUAUUGUAUUACAGAAUAGGAAAUUCACAUAUUCAAUACGAAACCAGG
Ctenocephalides felis (cat flea) is the source of this 664-nucleotide long non-coding RNA. RefSeq lists it as uncharacterized. NCBI's taxonomy places the organism in Eukaryota, Metazoa, Arthropoda, Insecta, Siphonaptera, Pulicidae. The transcript has 4 exons. The record is from RefSeq and is a predicted model, not a curated record.